AUUACAUGGUAAGCAUAGUUCUUUUACUGUUUGCCUUUGAAGUCUUUAUUGGGGUUGGGGGUCUGUGUUUUUAUUGUUUUUGCUGAUUCUUACUCAAGUCUAGUUUCUUUAUGUUGCGGUUUCCUUUGUGUGUAGGACAUUGUAUUUGAAAAAUUAUUUGUGUAAACAAUUUGAGUCCCACAGGUGAAGGCCCACUAAUCUCCAGAAAGAAUUUUUGUUUGCUUCUUCUAGGCUUCUCAGGGGGCACUUUCACCUUAAACUAAGUUGAAGUCUUGAGCUAGCAAUUGAAUCAGGGGUUUAAAUUUUCUUCCUGGGCUGGCUCACUUCUGGUUCAUGCCUGUCUUGAGUGUGCAGCUCUGUGGAGGGGAGCUUCCAGUUUAUUUAGGAGACGAUCUUCUACGAAUUCUCCACAUUGUGCCAUCUCCCUUGCCCAGCAAGCCCUUCAAAACAAAGCUUCUAAUUUAUCCAGAUUGACAAAUGACUUCAGGGCAAAAGCAGUUUCUGUACCCAUUUCUCUUCAACCCAUUUACCUUCCAGAGUUCUCAUUUUCCCUUGACCUUAGGCCUUUUAAAGAACUAUCUUGUUAUCUCUUUGAUAAUUUUAAAAUGUUUCUUUUAAGUAUUUCAGUUGUUUUCAUCAAGAUGAUUGAUUCAAUACACAGGAAACAACUUCACUUCAAAUUCUCACUCUGUUAUUUUGUAGCUGCAUGGCUUUGGACAAGUUAUUUAACCUCCAUGUAACUCAGUUUUUUCAUGCGUAAAAUGGGGCUAAUACUACUACCUACAUUACAAGAUUACAUGUAAAGAAUAGUGCCAGGGUAUAAAAAGUAUUUGAUAAAUGUUAACUAUUAUUACUAUUGUCAUACCACCUUAUUUAUUUCCUUUAGGCCACUUACCACUUUCAAAAAUUGUCAUAUUAUUUUUAUUGUUGUUGUUUUCUCUUCUAGUAGAAUAUAAGCUUCAUAUUUUCAUAUUUACCACUAUAAAAUUGAAUACUAUUAUUUUAAAUGAAUUAAUAAGCAUAUUCAAGUUUUCACUAUAAAAACAUCGGCUUUGGGCCAGGCACGGUGGCUUAUGCCUGUAAUUCCAACACUUUGGGAGGCCGAGGCGGGCAGAUCACAAGGUCAGGAGUUUGAAACCAGCCUGGCCAAUAUGGUGAAACCCUGUCUCUACUAAAAAUACAAAAAUUAGUCAGGCGUGAUGGCAUGUAGUACCAGCUACUCGGGAGGCUGAGGCAGGAGAAUCGCUUGAACCCAGGAGGCGGAGCUUGCAGUGAGCGGAGAUCGUGCCACUGCACUCCAGCCUGGGUGACAAAGCAAGACUCUGUCUCAAAAAAAAAAAUAAAAAUAAAAAUAAAAAAUAAAAAAAAAUUAAAUAAAUAAAUAAAUAAAUCAGCUUUGGCUCAAUCCCAAUAGCACAAAUUGAAAAUAGGCCAGUUUAUGUGAAAAAGCAAACAAUCUAAAGUCUAUUCUAUAGCAUGUUCUUUUUUAAAAGAGUGAACUAAAAACCCACCUUAAUCCAAGAAAAGUGAAAUAAUAAUUAGACCAUAUUUUACAAUUUAAUUUCCAAAAUCACUUGGAUAUACGGCACAUUAUUUCUGUGUUCGAACAAAUAUGCCCCUUUUCAAAUUUUAAAUAACAAGAUACCUUAGUUCAAGUAUUUUUAAAAUUUGCAUAUGCACUCCUUUGCCAAAUAUCUCAAUCUUUCAUCAUUUAUCAUAAUUCUAGAGACUCUUUCUUCCAUGGAGUCAUUCCUCCAUUUACAGGGGUUCAGGGAUGUUCUGCACGUAAUUUCUCACAUUAUGACCUUUUGAUGAAACUGCUGCAUUAUGCAUUCUAUUCAGUGCCAGUGAAAGGAAUGAACUGUAAACAUGUUGAUUGUUAAUGCCUCAUCGUGGAUAGAGAUACCAUUUGGUUUAUCAUUUGGUAGCUAAAACUUCCCUAUUACCUCUGUCUUCUCCCAACUCAGAAUCUCAGAAGAUUAUAGAUCAUAUUAGACAGGCUGUUGAGUUCGUCUUAAGAAAUGCUCUCGGCCGGGCGCAGUGGCUCACGUCUGUAAUCCCAGCACUCUGGGAGGCCGAGGCGGGCAGAUCAUGAGGUCAGGAGAUCGAGACCAUCCUGGCUAACACGGUGAAACCCUGUCUCUACUAAACAUACAAAAAAUUAGCCAGGCGUGGUGGCAGGCGCCUGUAGUCCCAGCUACUCGGGAGGCUGAGGCAGGAGAA
This 2223-nucleotide long non-coding RNA is filed under the name Homo sapiens (human). RNAcentral describes it as "non-protein coding lnc-KIAA1109-3:1". Lineage: Eukaryota; Metazoa; Chordata; Mammalia; Primates; Hominidae. The record is from RNAcentral.